UGGCUCAAAAUUGUCACCAAGGCUAAAG
This 28-nucleotide non-coding RNA is filed under the name Mus musculus (house mouse). The record is from RNAcentral. Lineage: Eukaryota; Metazoa; Chordata; Mammalia; Rodentia; Muridae.